Molecule: long non-coding RNA, 493 nt
Organism: Cygnus olor (mute swan)
Lineage: Eukaryota; Metazoa; Chordata; Aves; Anseriformes; Anatidae
Exons: 2
Source: RefSeq, a predicted model, not a curated record
GAGCCCCGCAGCGCGGCGGCGGCACCGGGGGAACGGCGCCGCUGGGGGCUGCCUUCGUUUUAUUCUAUUUAAUUAUAUUUUCUUAAAUUAGCAAGCAGGAAGACUGCGAGGAGGGGCGCCCGCCGGCAGCAGCGCGGGCCCCCCACCCUGGGGCACUCGGAGGUUUCUCCGCCAUCCCACGCCGACCCGUGCUGACGAGGUUAAAAAGACUUGUCCGCACUGAAGUGCGAGGUUUCCACAAGUGGUUGCCCACGCAGGAUGUGGAAGAAUCGGCAUAAAAGCGUUAUGGAGCAAGAACCUUAUUCUUGGGGACUGCCGUGAACUGCCCUCUUUGAAGAAACCACCCACAUAAUAAUGACCCUGGAGAGCAACGCAAAACCCAACUGGCUUCCACGCAAACUUCGGCAAAUUACUGGGCGCCUAAAGACAGGCAAACUGUCAAGAGAUUUUGCGAGGGAAACAAAACAAAACAAAACAAAACAAAACACGACAA